GAUCAUGGCUACAGAACGAACGCUGGCGGCAGGCUUAACACAUGCAAGUCGAACGCUCGUAGCAAUACGGGAGUGGCGGACGGGUGAGUAACGCGUGGGAACGUGCCCUGAGGUACGGAAUAACUGCGGGAAACUGCAGCUAAUACCGUAUGAGCCCCGUGAGGGGGAAAGAUUUAUCGCCUUAGGAGCGGCCCGCGUCGGAUUAGCUAGUUGGUGGGGUAACGGCUUACCAAGGCUUCGAUCCGUAGCUGGUCUGAGAGGACGAUCAGCCACACUGGGACUGAUACACGGCCCAGACUCCUACGGGAGGCAGCAGUGGGGAAUCUUGCGCAAUGGGGGCAACCCUGACGCAGCCAUGCCGCGUGAAUGAUGAAGGCCUUAGGGUUGUAAAGUUCUUUUGCCCGUGACGAUGAUGACGGUAACGGGAGAAUAAGCUCCGGCUAACUUCGUG
Molecule: ribosomal RNA, 451 nt
Filed under: uncultured bacterium
Lineage: Bacteria
Description: bacterial SSU rRNA
Rfam family: Bacterial small subunit ribosomal RNA
Source: RNAcentral